RNAcentral lists this long non-coding RNA (468 nucleotides) under Carica papaya (papaya). Its description in RNAcentral is "long non-coding RNA (CPAP_LNC012944)". Lineage: Eukaryota; Viridiplantae; Streptophyta; Magnoliopsida; Brassicales; Caricaceae. The record is from RNAcentral.
UCAAUGUCUAUGAGAGGGCCAAAAUGAUGUUUCCACUGCUAUUUUAAUUGUUAGUUAUAAUUCAGGAACAUAAAAGAAACAUAAGAAUUAAACAUGAAAAGCACAAAUUCAAUUUCAAACAAGUAAUAAAGUCACGAUCAGGGUAUGAUACUUCUUGUUUAUUUUUUUUUUUAAUCCAUCUUAAAACCGAAGCAUGCCUUUUUACACACCAAAACCCAGAAGCUUCUCCUCUCUUCUUCUAAGCUAUAACGAACCCAAACCUUCAUCAUUUGUCCAGAGCUUGAUACAGUCUUCUCUCGGUCCGAUCUCCUGCUGUGUGGCUCAUCUUCUUCGCAUGCCUCUCUCAUCAUCAUCAGCUCUCUCCCAAAAGUUGCUAAGUUUCUUCCUUUAUUUUUUCUCAUUUCAGAAACCCGAAAGCCCUUUUUAUGCAACCAAAAAUCAUGCAAUUUAAUCUGGUUUUUUGGAUUU